Molecule: non-coding RNA, 24 nt
Filed under: Arabidopsis thaliana (thale cress)
Lineage: Eukaryota; Viridiplantae; Streptophyta; Magnoliopsida; Brassicales; Brassicaceae
Source: RNAcentral
GAGCUUCCAUGUGUUGGUGAAGGA